CCUACGGGUGGCAGCAGUGAGGAAUAUUGGUCAAUGGACGAGAGUCUGAACCAGCCAAGUAGCGUGAAGGAUGACUGCCCUCUGGGUUGUAAACUUCUUUUAUAUGGGAAUAAAACGUUCCACGUGUGGGAUUUUGUAUGUACCAUAUGAAUAAGGAUCGGCUAACUCCGUGCCAGCAGCCGCGGUAAGACGGAGGAUGCGAGCGUUAUCCGGAGUUAUUGGGUUUAAAGUGAGCGUAGGUGGGUUGAUAAGUCAGUUGUGAAAGUUUGCGGCGCAACCGUAGAAUUGCAGUUGAGACUGGCAGUCUUGAGUACAGUAGAGGUGGGCGGAAUUCAUGGUGUAGCGGUGAAAUGCUUAGAUAUCACGAAGAACUCCGAUUGCGAAGGCAGUUCACUGGACUGCAACUGACACUGAGGCUCGAAAGUGUGGGUAUCAAACAGGAUUAGAUACCCUGGUAGUC
This 460-nucleotide ribosomal RNA is filed under the name uncultured bacterium. RNAcentral describes it as "partial 16S ribosomal RNA". It matches the Rfam family "Bacterial small subunit ribosomal RNA", at positions 338 to 795 of the family's 1533-position model. The record is from RNAcentral.